GACGAACGCUGGCGGCGUGCCUAACACAUGCAAGUCGAACGGGGUAGCAAUACCCAGUGGCGGACGGGUGCGUAACACGUGAGGAACAUGUCUUUCGGCGGGGAAGUAGCCGGCCUAACGGCCGGGUAAGUACCGCGUACGACGAUUGGGGCGGCAUGCCUUGAUCGUGAAAGCAGCAAUGCACCGAUAGAGUGCCUCGCGGCCUAUCAGCUAGUUGGUGAGGUAAUGGCUCACCAAGGCGACGACGGGUAGCUGGUCUGAGAGGAUGAUCAGCCACAUUGGGACUGAGACACGGCCCAGACUCCUACGGGAGGCAGCAGUGGGGAAUAUUGCGCAAUGGGCGAAAGCCUGACGCAGCGACGCCGCGUGUGGGAUGAAGGUCUUCGGA
This 388-nucleotide ribosomal RNA is filed under the name uncultured bacterium. RNAcentral describes it as "bacterial SSU rRNA". It matches the Rfam family "Bacterial small subunit ribosomal RNA", at positions 28 to 422 of the family's 1533-position model. The record is from RNAcentral.